Molecule: unclassified non-coding RNA, 1886 nt
Filed under: Hevea brasiliensis (rubber tree)
Lineage: Eukaryota; Viridiplantae; Streptophyta; Magnoliopsida; Malpighiales; Euphorbiaceae
Source: RNAcentral
AUUACACGUUGGGGGUUUAUCCAAUGCACACAAAGUGCUCAACAACAAAAAAAACACAUAUUCUACAAAGGGAAGUCUUAUUUGAACAUAUAGUUCACUGAACUCAUAAACAAAAAGCUGAUUUAAGUUUACUUUAGAUAAAUAAACUCCAAACAACCUUCAAAAACUAAACUGGACGCCUUCUGCAUGAUCUUCUGUAGCUGUAAACCCCGCUAUUUUGUGACAAAAGUAUUUCUAAAAAGACGACAUUUGGGUACUUCUCUCCUUUCCAAGUCUGACGGAGUUCACGUAAUCAACUGGGCUGUGGGCAGAAAUACCAGGAAGGAAAAGUCCUAGCACGCGAAGCACAACUGAUUCCCAGCAUUCCUCAUACUCGGCUCCAUAUAUGUGACCCAUUGUAAAGCUUCUGAUGAGCUCCCACCCAGCAUUCAGAUACAAUGGUAUCAGAAAUCGCAGCCCAAAAUAGUUUCUGUUUGGCUCUUCAUCGACGUUCUGCUCAACAUAUAAGCUGUUGUAAUACUGGCAAAUCCCAAAGUGUUUAAACAGGAAUGUUUUAUUAUCAUAAGGUAAUCUUGGCACAAGAUCAUUGGAAUAAACAACUCUGAAGUACUUUGGGACUGGAUGUUCCAAAUGGGCUUCCAUGAACCUCCCUAACUGUCUGUUCCCAAUCCUUGGCUGCCCAUAUGUAUAUAUCCCCAAUAACCGUUCCAUGACAUUCAUCUCCUCAUGCAGCACUAGGAUUGUCGGGAAUAAUAUAGCUAAUGCUCCACCAAGGCUAUGGCCUGUAACAACAAACUUUGCAUUCUUGUGCUCAUUGAGUAACCUUUUGAGUUUACUCCUGACAACAUAGUAUGCCGUCCUCUCUGGCAUAUCUAGUUUGAACUUCUUUGAUCCGGCAUCAGUAGGCCUAUCUGAUUCAGGCGACUGGUCUGACACACUGUGUGCAUCAGAAUCACUGAACAUGGUAGAAGAUUCAGAACUUUCUGAAGGAGCAAUAGUUGCAUCAUUCUCUAAUUUGGUGAAGUUCUGAUUAUUCAUGAACAGCUGUUCAUGAAAUGUGGAGACUUUAGCUCUGCUCCCUAAACCUAAGGCUUCCAAGAAACCCAUGUGUACUUUGCCAAGUUUUGGAAUCUCGUACCAAGAGUAGUCAAAAUCAGUGAUCCAGUCAUCAGCAUCAAAAGGCUCUGUGCCCCUGAAGCUGAUGACUAUCAAGUUUGCAUCUUUUGGCUUAUCACACAAUAUAAAAACCUGGGUGGACAUCUCUUUCUCGAAAUCAUUCCAACAAUUGUAGAAAUCCACAAAAUGCAUCUUCCAGUGAAUAUUUACGACAUUCUGAACGACCUUUGCAUUCUCGUAGGCCAACUUUGAAGCCAUCAUACAGAGGUCCAUAAGGGCUCUGUGUCCUAUUCCAAGUUGAAUAUCUUUCUGCCAGAAAUCAGGCUCUCCAAUUUCCUUGGUUAACGUCUCAGUCCUGUAUAAGUCUAUACGCCCAUCUAAAUGCCCAAUCGCACUUAUAAACGUUUCUGACCCUCUCUGUGGCAUCACCACCUUUCCAUGCAAUAUAUUGUAGAAAAGGCCAAAAAAGUUGCCAUUGAGAGAGAGAAGGUUGAGGAUGAAGUCGAGGAGAUACCCAAACCAUUCCAUGGGUUUACCGAAAAUGGCGAUUAAUUUGCGCACAAUAACGGAGACAAAUAUAACCCAUCGAUGAUCUCCGGCAGUGGUAUCGUCAUGAACACGUGUCAACUCUUCCGCCACCACAGGGGUACCGCCGUCGGAAUAGUGGAGAAAUUUAUGAGCGUUUUCCUUGUUAGCUGAUAGGAGAAAGCGCAUGAGGUCCAAAAUUCCUCCAUCUUGGUAAUUCACAAUCAAAAACCGCGAAUUCCCAG